RNAcentral lists this ribosomal RNA (771 nucleotides) under uncultured bacterium. RNAcentral's name for it is "bacterial SSU rRNA". It matches the Rfam family "Bacterial small subunit ribosomal RNA", at positions 8 to 796 of the family's 1533-position model. The record is from RNAcentral.
AGAGUUUGAUCCUGGCUCAGGACGAACGCUGGCGGCGUGCUUAACACAUGCAAGUCGAGCGGUAAGGCCUUUCGGGGUACACGAGCGGCGAACGGGUGAGUAACACGUGGGUGAUCUGCCCUGCACUCUGGGAUAAGCUUGGGAAACUGGGUCUAAUACCGGAUAUGACCGCAUGCCGCAUGGUGUGUGGUGGAAAGAUUUAUCGGUGCAGGAUGGGCCCGCGGCCUAUCAGCUUGUUGGUGGGGUAAUGGCCUACCAAGGCGACGACGGGUAGCCGACCUGAGAGGGUGACCGGCCACACUGGGACUGAGACACGGCCCAGACUCCUACGGGAGGCAGCAGUGGGGAAUAUUGCACAAUGGGCGGAAGCCUGAUGCAGCGACGCCGCGUGAGGGAUGAAGGCCUUCGGGUUGUAAACCUCUUUCAGCAGGGACGAAGCGUGAGUGACGGUACCUGCAGAAGAAGCACCGGCUAACUACGUGCCAGCAGCCGCGGUAAUACGUAGGGUGCGAGCGUUGUCCGGAAUUACUGGGCGUAAAGAGUUCGUAGGCGGUUUGUCGCGUCGUUUGUGAAAACCCGGGGCUCAACUUCGGGCUUGCAGGCGAUACGGGCAGACUUGAGUGUUUCAGGGGAGACUGGAAUUCCUGGUGUAGCGGUGAAAUGCGCAGAUAUCAGGAGGAACACCGGUGGCGAAGGCGGGUCUCUGGGAAACAACUGACGCUGAGGAACGAAAGCGUGGGUAGCAAACAGGAUUAGAUACCCUGGUAGUCC